UCGAUAAUCCACGAAUACUCAACCUUCCCUUGACAUUUCAGCAUGUAUACUGCCGUUGUAAGCAUACCUCUAAAAGAAUAAGUAUGCCACUAUGAUCAAAUAAAAUGACUCAUAUACAUCAGGUCAAAGUGCAGCCAAUAAGAAGGAGAUGAUGGGUUACAACCCUAAAACAGACUAUCAACUAAGAAAUAAAAAAUCUUACGAAAGUGGACUUGACUGUAAUUAAUUAAAAAGUAUAGAAAUGAAUAAAAUUCUAAGACAUGCACACAUCGCCCGUCACUCUAUCCAAAAGGCUAGAUAAGUCGUAACAAAGUAGGUGUAAUGGAAAUUGCCCCUGUCGGAGUAUAGCAUAUAAAAUGCUUUUUACUUACACUAAAAAUAAAGUUAAACAACUUGCUUCGCACAAAUGUAAUUAUCCUAUAAUGAAACGAGAAUAUAAACAAAUAAAUAAAUUAAAUUAAUGAGUACAGAAAUGGAAGAAGAAAUAAACAAAAGUAAAUUUAAAUAACUGUACCUUGUGCAUUAUGGUUUUACAAGAAAAUAAUUAAAAAUACCUAUCCCGAAUUCUUUAUGAGAUGUUAAGCUGCUGUCAUGAACCCAUUAAUAGCUGUAGAAUAAGCUUUAAGAGACAGCCUAACAGAGGCUACAUACCAUACGCAUAAGAAUAUAGCUGGUUUUCAACAAACAUUAUAUAUUAAAGCAUGUAACUAUGUUACAAUGUUAUAUUAUUGAGGACAAGCCCAAUAAAAAAAGCAAUAAAUACUUAAAUCUAUAUAAAAAUAUAGGCCUAAAACCAGCCAACCAAAACACUUUACCGUAAUAUAAGAAGAUAUAAUACCUAAAACAGUAAUAUGCUAAAAUAGUUGAAAUAGCGAAUAAACUAAAUUCACCGCUUAUAAUAUGUAAAAAUAAGUAUUUUAAACUAUAUAAAUAAAAGACUAGUAAUAUACAAAUGAUUACAUUACAAUAAUUAAUUAAGGAACUCGGCAAACCAUUAUUUCGACUGUUUAACAAAAACAUUGUCUCAUGAACAAAAUAUGAGAUAAUAC
RNAcentral lists this ribosomal RNA (1049 nucleotides) under Amynthas sp. GD201101-04. RNAcentral describes it as "partial 12S ribosomal RNA". Lineage: Eukaryota; Metazoa; Annelida; Clitellata; Crassiclitellata; Megascolecidae. The record is from RNAcentral.